AUACGUAGGGAGCGAGCGUUAUCCGGAUUUAUUGGGCGUAAAGCGCGCGUAGGCGGCUCGCCAAGCAGGAUCUCAAAUCCGAGGGCUCAACCCCUGGCCGGAUCCUGAACUGGCGGGCUCGAGUUCGGUAGAGGAAGACGGAAUUCCCAGUGUAGCGGUGAAAUGCGCAGAUAUUGGGAAGAACACCGAUGGCGAAGGCAGUCUUCUGGGCCGUAACUGACGCUGAGGUGCGAAAGCUAGGGGAGCGAACAGGAUUAGAUACCCUGGUAGUCCUAGCCGUAAACGAUGGGCACUAGGUGUGGGGGAGUGCUUCCUCCGUGCCGCAGCUAACGCAUUAAGUGCCCCGCCUGGGGAGUACGGCCGCAAGGCUAAA
This 373-nucleotide ribosomal RNA is filed under the name uncultured bacterium. RNAcentral describes it as "bacterial SSU rRNA". It matches the Rfam family "Bacterial small subunit ribosomal RNA", at positions 523 to 898 of the family's 1533-position model. The record is from RNAcentral.